RNAcentral lists this transfer RNA (74 nucleotides) under Hyphomicrobiales bacterium. RNAcentral describes it as "tRNA-Gln". It matches the Rfam family "tRNA". Rfam says of the family: Transfer RNA (tRNA) molecules are approximately 80 nucleotides in length. Their secondary structure includes four short double-helical elements and three loops (D, anti-codon, and T loops). Further hydrogen bonds mediate the characteristic L-shaped molecular structure. tRNAs have two regions of fundamental functional importance: the anti-codon, which is responsible for specific mRNA codon recognition, and the 3' end, to which the tRNAs corresponding amino acid is attached (by aminoacyl-tRNA synthetases). tRNAs cope with the degeneracy of the genetic code in two manners: having more than one tRNA (with a specific anti-codon) for a particular amino acid; and 'wobble' base-pairing, i.e. permitting non-standard base-pairing at the 3rd anti-codon position. Lineage: Bacteria; Pseudomonadati; Pseudomonadota; Alphaproteobacteria; Hyphomicrobiales. RNAcentral also lists the same sequence under 1 other name. The record is from RNAcentral.
UCGGGGAUAGUUCAACGGUAGAACUACGGACUCUGACUCCGUCAAUCUAGGUUCGAAUCCUAGUCCCCGAACCA